GUCAGUGGGGUGUGAUGUGAGUCGGGGGUUCCUGUGUCAGCGUCCCACCCUGGCUGUGUCCUGCUGAUCCCGCCUUUGUUCUGGGAGUCCUGUGAGGCCCCGGGUGGAUGCUGCGUAGAGUUACAGGCAGUGCCUGGGCCCCUCUGGAGUUUCCCCCCAUUGGGAGGCCCUGGUCCAGCUGUAGCGGAGUUUUCCCGCCAUGGGAGGCCCUGGUCCAGCUGCAGCACAGCCUUGUUAUUGGGGUGUUUAUAUUCAGGGGACUCAGUUUGUACUAAACCAGGUUUUCUGUCUACAUGGGGACCCCCAGUUUGCUUUUCACAGUCUGCUUAUUCAAGGACAGAGAGUGGCACAGGGCACUGGAACGGAGCUUGGUGGGCGUGGGCGUGGCUGGGGAGGGUGGGCAGUACCUCGGCUCCCACUUGAGGGGGCCACCCUGCUGGCCCAGCAUUGGCUGGGAACGCUCCGUGUGCCCAGCGGGGGUUUGGGGAGCAGAGUGACGGUGGAGAUGGUGCCCUUGCUCCCAGCAUCCCCCGGCUGCUUCCCUCUGCCCCAGCGGGCUCCUCAAGUGAACCGGCUCCUGCCCCAGGGCCUCGCACCAGCCACAGCUGUGGCCUCUGCUGCAUUUCCCUGCGUUGCCCCGGUUUGAACACCCCUUCCCCGCCCCCGGGAGGCCCUCCCUGGUACCCUGUGUGUAGUAGUCUUGCACGGGGACCAGUCCUUCCCCACUCUCCACAGACUGUCCUGCCCGAGCCCCUCAGCGCCCAGGCUGCAGCGCAGCAGACAGGGCCCCGCCUCUUGCUGUGCCCUGGGCAGCCUGUCACACCCGGUGUGCUCCUCUCCCCACCCUCCCAGGGCUGGUGGGGCCGGGCUGGGCCGGAGGCGCUGGUGUCCUGAGCCUGUGCGGCCACCAGAGGCCGCUGCAGCCUUGCCUGGGCUGGGGCGCUCCCCAAGCUGCCCUGCCAGGUUCACCUUGCCAGGCUCUACAGCCUUUCCCACUGGGACUCGGCCAGGGCCUCCCUCCUGAUGUCACGGGGGGUUUGUGCUGGGCUGUUGGGCCCAUCUCGGAUGACGGGUGAGGCCAGGAGCCGGCUGCAGGAGUGAAAGCACCUCGCUGGAGGCAGACACUCCAGGCUCACUCGGCUGUGGGCUGAGCUGGGGCCCCCAGAAGAUGCACUGAAGUCCUAGCCCUCAGGGCCUCGGAGUGGGAUGUCAUCUGGGGACAUGGGGUCGUUACACAGGUCAUCAAGGCUCGGAUCCUGUAGGGUGGGGUCCCAGGGCCUCGGAGUGGGAUGUCAUCCGGAGAUGGGGUCCUUACAGAGGUCGUUACGGAGGUCAUCAAGGCUCGGAUCCUGUACGGUGGGGUCUAUGUAGCUGGGGUCAACCUGGACGCAGGCCGGAGGAGGGAGAGCAUCGUGGGAAGGGGAUGGGGAUGGUGGCGUCUGCACGCUAAGGAGAGCCAGGAGGAACCUUUGCUGCCAACACCAGGACCUGGGACUUCAGCCUCUAGAACGGGGCACGUUGUCGCUGUCCAGUCCGCCUGGUCUGUGCUUGUUGACGGGAGCCUGAGCUAACAGAUGAACUGCGCUGAGGUUGCCAGACUGUCACACCGACUGUCCGCACCCCAGCUGUGACAUCCCAGUUCUCCGGGCUCCCCGCAGGCUCUCCAGUCACCCUAGGUGUGUUCUGCUGGUGGUGACAAGUCACAUGGCUUCAGUGGAAGGGACUCCGCUGGGGGGCCACAGCUAACCUCAGGCACAACUGGGCCUUCACCCAGAGUCACCCACAGCCGGGCUCUGCACCUCAGCUCCAAGGUGGCACCACGGAUCCUGCUCUUGCAGGAGGAGGUGUCAGCCUGGCUCUUCCUGGCCUCACUGCUGUGCAGAGCUCCUGAAGGGUGGAUGGGAACUGGGAGAUGGGACUGGCAGGAGGCUGGAUCCCCACACUGAUCUCUGCAGGGGCCGGGCCUGGGUGUGGGGGAGCGGGGGGACGGAAGCCAGGCCUGCUGAGCAGGAGCAGGUGUGUGGGGGCUCCAGGGCACGGGGGAGGCUCUGGCCCAGGCCUUCUGGCCACGUCGUGUCCUUGGCCUGCUGGUCUGUGGCGUUCCUGACCUCAGUGCACCCAGGCCUGUCCAGGAGGGAUGUCGUGUUGCCUGACCCAGCCGACCGUCUGUAGACGGGGCCCCGCAGGGCCGAGUGGAGCUGAGUGGCCCUGGAGGAGCCAGGCCAGGGCCUCUGGGCUCACCUGCUGGGUGACGCUCUGUGGAGAAUUGAGGAGGCUCCAAAAGGGGCCUGAGUGGCCGGGACAACCUCUGUGACUCGGGUGAGAGGCCAGAGGGCCAGGCUGGCUGUGAGGCUCCUGGCCCCGCUGGUUAGAACUCAGACUGUGGCAGCUCUGGGACCACCCCAGACUCAACUGGAUGUGCACGUCUGGGCACAGCGGGUCUGGGCUGGGACCUGCGUGUCCGGGCGCUCCCGGGUGCUUGUCACUGCUGACCCAGGCUGGGCUGUCGCCAGUGUCCUCCCCGGCUGCGCCCUGUGCCCCCCUCCCCCACUCCGCCCCAGGCGUUCUGUACCCUGCUUCUGUGAAGCAAACUAACAGCAACCCCGGCCUGGGCCUUUGCCCCGUGCCCUCUGCCCAGCGCAGCACCUCCCAGGCAGCGUCUCCCUGCGCCUUCCCCUCCCUCCAGUCUGGGCUCGGUGGAGGGGAACUGCUGGGUUCCAUUAGAGGCCCUUGCAGAGGGUCUUGCAGGAUGCUGAUCGUGAAUAUUUAGCAACAAGUCAGGAUUGGGCCCCAGAGGCCGGUGGCUCCUGUGCACCCAGCAGGCAGGAGCCCCAGGAGGUGGGGCAGCCAGGCCACUUCCAGCCUCGUCGCCCUGUAGGCAGCACGGUCCCUCCUAGAGUCCCCUGGGGCAAGGGAGUGAAAUAGUGAUUUUCCUCUGCAUAAACCAACAGCCUUUUCCCUAAUUAAAACAGGGUUUCAGUUUUAUUUAUAAUUUUUAAAUGACAAAGGCAACAUGAACCUGAUGGUCAACAUUCAAAUGAAAGCUCAGCGCACAGAGAAGCUGUGAGGAGUCCCGGCCAUUCCCCCUAAACGGCCCCUUCCUGUUUGGCCUCAGCCUCAGUUCAAAGCUUUGCUGUGUAUCUUUGUUUUUUCUUUUAACACGCAAACUGUUCAUUCCUUCUGAGCUUCAGUAUUCUCAUCGCAAGGAUAUGCAGAAUGGGUCAUGCCUCAGGCGUGCGAGGGGCAGUGGACCGUGGUUUCUUGGCCACGCCCUCGGGCAUCUCCUGCCACCCCCCCUUCGCUGUGUCCAAAACGGAACCUCAGCCCAGCCUUCUCGUCUGCACCAGAGCCUGACUCCUGUUGCCCUGGGAAGCGCUCGGUCCCCCAGCACGGAGCCCCCAUCUGCCAGCACCACAAACGUGCCACUGGGGACGCCACUGCCUCCUGGCUUGAGUUUGAGCUUUUUAAAACCACUUCCAAAAAUUCUGUAUAAACAAAAACAUUUUAAAUGUAAGGAUGAGUGCCCCAUUGGCAGCAUUUGGGGCAUACCGAGUUGAGGUGAAACUCAUUCAGUUCACCGGUUUGUCUUUUCUUUUUGGUGCUGGGUAAGGGGCAGCCCAGGCGUUUCCUCCCGUUUGCCCUGGGUGGCCCCUGUGGUGACAGUCACUCUGCCUCCUGCUCCUGCAGCCGGCACCCCCCAUGGUCCUGGUUCCAAAGACCACCUGGUCCCUGGGCUGAGGACGCCGCCGCCACCUCGCCUUCCCCUCCCCAGAUGAAAUCCCUAGCCAAGUGUGGAGGCCUAACCCGACUGGAACGCCCACCUCCCUUCCCCACACCAUCCGGCCUCCCAGAGUGCAGAUACAGGCCUGGGCCGCGGGGACCCUGAGCUGACGGAGAUUCUGUUUUUCCCUCCACAGGAGGACAGGCACAGAGCACCUGGAAGGCCACGUCCCUCCCUGCCGGCGGGUGUGCCCAGGACCUACAUCCAUGUUCUUCCAGCCGGCUCAUUCCUCUGAGUCAGCCAGGUUGGGCACAGUCAGGAGGCCCUUGCUAGAGGCUGGUGCCUUCGUCCUGGACUUCCCGGGCUGCAGAACUGGAGAGAAGACAGUGGUACCUUGUAGAAGUUGCCUGCUCUCAGGAAAUGAAUGUGGCUGCCCGACAAUUAAGUCACAGCUACAUCCGUAAUGAGGGACGUCUGACGAGCUGUGGAGUGCGCGUUCCGGCAAUAAGGGACGCUGGAGCAUUUAACUGGCAUUUAGGAAAUCAGCUGCGGAGAAUUAGCCGUCGGCCCGUGUUUCCUGAACAUCAAUCGUGCUGGGAGCUGUGGCGAAGGCCUCCGCCGUAAGCGAUUCCUGCUCGACAGUGAGGAGCGUGUCCGUUCCCUGGGUGCCUGGGUCUCCCCCACUGGGCCAGCAGCCCAUGGUGAAGGCCAUGCCAGUCUCCAACAGCAUGGGCUCCACUCCUGGCUGGGAGGGUGGCACAGCCCCAGGCCUCAGUUGUCCCAUCUACAGAGUGUGCUGCCAGGGGCUGUGUCUGCUCAGAAAAUGACUUCAAAACGUCGUGGUGUGGAACUGCAGCAGCAGCACUGAUUUUGCUCAUGAAUCUGCAAUGUGGACUUGGUGGGGACGGCUCGCCUCUGCUCCAGGUGGCAGAAGGUAGAGUUGGGUGUUGGGGACUGGGGUCAUUAGCUCACCACACGCCAUGACACACACCGCUACACAGACACAUCAGUACACGUGCACACCACUACACACACCACACACACCACACACACCACUACACACAU
This is a non-coding RNA of Chlorocebus sabaeus (green monkey), 4786 nucleotides long. Lineage: Eukaryota; Metazoa; Chordata; Mammalia; Primates; Cercopithecidae. The record is from RefSeq and is a predicted model, not a curated record.